RNAcentral lists this transfer RNA (76 nucleotides) under Nitrososphaerota archaeon. RNAcentral describes it as "Thaumarchaeota archaeon tRNA-Ala". It matches the Rfam family "tRNA". From Rfam's summary of the family: Transfer RNA (tRNA) molecules are approximately 80 nucleotides in length. Their secondary structure includes four short double-helical elements and three loops (D, anti-codon, and T loops). RNAcentral also lists the same sequence under 2 other names. Lineage: Archaea; Thermoproteati; Nitrososphaerota. The record is from RNAcentral.
GGGCCGGUAGAUCAGCUGGGAGAUCGCCCGCUUGGCGUGCGGGAGGUCGCGGGUUCAAAUCCCGCCCGGUCCACCA